RNAcentral lists this ribosomal RNA (399 nucleotides) under Triticum aestivum (bread wheat). RNAcentral's name for it is "partial small subunit ribosomal RNA". Lineage: Eukaryota; Viridiplantae; Streptophyta; Magnoliopsida; Poales; Poaceae. The record is from RNAcentral.
AUGAAAAUCCUCGUGUGGAACUGCCAUGGGAUGCGUAAACAUCCGGCAGUUCGGGCGCUCCUGGGGAUCCAAGAGCGAAUAAUACCAGAUGUGUUGUUCCUGUCUAAAACACACCUAGACAUGGCUAAGGCAGGAAAACUGAGAAGGAGGUUAGGGUUUGAUGAGAUGGAAGUUUUGGAAAGUGACGACAGAAGUGGAGGAUUGAUCAUGCUUUGGAAAACUAGCCCGGAAGUCUCAUCUCGGGCUGCUCAUGCAAACAACAUAGAUAUACGCAUCAAGGAGGCGACACCAGUGGGAUGGCGCUUCACAGGCUUCUACGACGAGCCAAGUAGUGACCAAAAGCAUCUGUCGUGGGGAUAUUUGCGUGGUUUGCACGCAUUGGCAAUCUGCCAUGGUUAG